UGGUAGUNCACGCCGUAAACGAUGAGUGCUAGGUGUUAGGCCCUUUCCGGGGCUUAGUGCCGCAGCUAACGCAUUAAGCACUCCGCCUGGGGAGUACGACCGCAAGGUUGAAACUCAAAGGAAUUGACGGGGGCCCGCACAAGCGGUGGAGCAUGUGGUUUAAUUCGAAGCAACGCGAAGAACCUUACCAGGUCUUGACAUCCCUCUGACCGCUCUAGAGAUAGAGUUUUCCUUCGGGACAGAGGUGACAGGUGGUGCAUGGUUGUCGUCAGCUCGUGUCGUGAGAUGUUGGNNNNNNNNNNNNAACGAGCGCAACCCCUAUUGUUAGUUGCCAUCAUUCAGUUGGGCACUCUAGCGAGACUGCCGGUAAUAAACCGGAGGAAGGUGGGGAUGACGUCAAAUCAUCAUGCCCCUUAUGACCUGGGCUACACACGUGCUACAAUGGCUGGUACAACGAGUCGCAAGCCGGUGACGGCAAGCUAAUCUCUGAACGCCAGUCUCAGUUCGGAUUGUAGGCUGCAACU
This 524-nucleotide ribosomal RNA is filed under the name uncultured bacterium. Its description in RNAcentral is "partial 16S ribosomal RNA". It matches the Rfam family "Bacterial small subunit ribosomal RNA", at positions 788 to 1312 of the family's 1533-position model. The record is from RNAcentral.